This 317-nucleotide long non-coding RNA is filed under the name Olea europaea (common olive). RNAcentral describes it as "long non-coding RNA (OEUR_LNC010878)". Lineage: Eukaryota; Viridiplantae; Streptophyta; Magnoliopsida; Lamiales; Oleaceae. The record is from RNAcentral.
UUCAUGAGUUCUCGAGCUCUUCCCUUCAUACUGAACACCCUUUGGUUAGACCCAUAAGAAGUCUUACCUUCUAAGGAUUAUAAUCUGACACAAACACCUCAACAAGGCUCCUACGUCCACUAGAACUCUAUAUCAACAAUAGCAUCAUUGGUCAUGCAAUUAUAUUACAAAUAAAAUACUCCUCUCAAGUAGGACUCUAUUGAAUAAGAAUGUCCAACUAAUUCGAUCCUAUUACGAGUACACGACCUACCACUAUAAAUACAGGACCCGGGUCCAUUAUUCAGGUACGUCUUUACAUGCAAUUUCAGCAUAUAUCC